Molecule: ribosomal RNA, 497 nt
Filed under: uncultured bacterium
Lineage: Bacteria
Description: partial 16S ribosomal RNA
Rfam family: Bacterial small subunit ribosomal RNA
Source: RNAcentral
GAUGAACGCUGGCGGCGUGCCUAAUACAUGCAAGUCGAGCGAACAGACGAGGAGCUUGCUCCUCUGACGUUAGCGGCGGACGGGUGAGUAACACGUGGAUAACCUACCUAUAAGACUGGGAUAACUUCGGGAAACCGGAGCUAAUACCGGAUAAUAUAUUGAACCGCAUGGUUCAAUAGUGAAAGACGGUUUUGCUGUCACUUAUAGAUGGAUCCGCGCCGCAUUAGCUAGUUGGUAGGGUAACGGCUUACCAAGGCGACGAUGCGUAGCCGACCUGAGAGGGUGAUCGGCCACACUGGAACUGAGACACGGUCCAGACUCCUACGGGAGGCAGCAGUAGGGAAUCUUCCGCAAAGGGCGAAAGCCUGACGGAGCAACGCCGCGUGAGUGAUGAAGGUCUUCGGAUCGUAAAACUCUGUUAUUAGGGAAGAACAAAUGUGUAAGUAACUAUGCACGUCUUGACGGUACCUAAUCAGAAAGCCACGGCUAACUACGUG